RNAcentral lists this ribosomal RNA (440 nucleotides) under uncultured bacterium. Its description in RNAcentral is "partial 16S ribosomal RNA". It matches the Rfam family "Bacterial small subunit ribosomal RNA", at positions 338 to 795 of the family's 1533-position model. The record is from RNAcentral.
CCUACGGGUGGCAGCAGUGGGGAAUAUUGCACAAUGGGGGAAACCCUGAUGCAGCGACGCCGCGUGAGUGAAGAAGUACUUCGGUUUGUAAAGCUCUAUCAGCAGGGAAGAACAUGACUGUACCUUAUUAAGAGACCCCGGCUAACUCCUUUCCAGCAGCCGCGGUACUACGUAGGGGCCAAGCGUGAUGCGGAUAUACUGGGGGUAAAGGUAGCAUAAACGGGAGCACAAGUCUGGAGUGAAAGGCCGGGGGUUAACCCCGGAACUGCUGUGGAAGCUGUGAAGCUAGAGUGCAGGAGAGGUAAGUGGAAUUCAUAGUGUAGCGGUGAAAUGCGUAGAUAUUAGGAAGAACACCAGUGGCGAAGGCGGCUUACUGGACUGUAACUGACGUUGAGGGUCGAAAGCGUGGGGAGCAAACAGGAUUAGAUACCCUAGUAGUC